CGCGGUAAUUCCAGCUCCAAUAGCGUAUACUAAAGUGUUGCAGUUAAAAAGCUCGUAGUUGGAUUUCUGGCGGGGACGGCUGGUCGGUCUCGAAAGGGGCUGUACUGUUGUUGGUUCCCGUCAUCCUUGGGGAGAGCGGCUCUUACAUUAAGUUGUCGGCGUCGGGAUCCCUAUCUUUUACUGUGAAAAAAUUAGAGUGUUCAAAGCAGGCUUAGGCCCUGAAUACAUUAGCAUGGAAUAAUAAGAUACGACCUUGGUGGUCUAUUUUGUUGGUUUGCACGCCAAGGUAAUGAUUAAUAGGGAUAGUUGGGGGUAUUCGUAUUCAAUUGUCAGAGGUGAAAUUCUUGGAUUUAUGGAAGACGAACUACUGCGAAAGCAUUUACCAAGGAUGUUUUCAUUAAUCAAGAACGAAAGUUAGGGGAUCGAAGAUGAUUAGAUACCAUCGUAGUCUUAACCAUAAACUAUGCCGACUAGGGAUCGGUGGGUGCAUUUUUAGGCCUCAUCGGCACCUUAUGAGAAAUCAAAGUCUUUGGGUUCCGAGGGGAGUAUGGUCGCAAGGCUGAAACUUAAAGAAAUUGACGG
RNAcentral lists this ribosomal RNA (582 nucleotides) under uncultured Eustigmatophyceae. Its description in RNAcentral is "SSU rRNA". It matches the Rfam family "Eukaryotic small subunit ribosomal RNA", at positions 575 to 1159 of the family's 1831-position model. The record is from RNAcentral. Lineage: Eukaryota; Eustigmatophyceae.